RNAcentral lists this ribosomal RNA (580 nucleotides) under uncultured beta proteobacterium. RNAcentral describes it as "bacterial SSU rRNA". It matches the Rfam family "Bacterial small subunit ribosomal RNA", at positions 51 to 626 of the family's 1533-position model. The record is from RNAcentral. Lineage: Bacteria; Pseudomonadati; Pseudomonadota; Betaproteobacteria.
ACACAUGCAAGUCGAACGGCAGCGCGGGGCAACCUGGCGGCGAGUGGCGAACGGGUGAGUAAUAUAUCGGAACGUACCCUGGAGUGGGGGAUAACGUAGCGAAAGUUACGCUAAUACCGCAUACGAUCUAAGGAUGAAAGUGGGGGAUUCGCAAGAACCUCAUGCUCCUGGAGCGGCCGAUAUCUGAUUAGCUAGUUGGUAGGGUAAAAGCCUACCAAGGCAUCGAUCAGUAGCUGGUCUGAGAGGACGACCAGCCACACUGGAACUGAGACACGGUCCAGACUCCUACGGGAGGCAGCAGUGGGGAAUUUUGGACAAUGGGCGCAAGCCUGAUCCAGCAAUGCCGCGUGAGUGAAGAAGGCCUUCGGGUUGUAAAGCUCUUUUGUCAGGGAAGAAACGGCCUGUUCUAAUACAGUGGGCUAAUGACGGUACCUGAAGAAUAAGCACCGGCUAACUACGUGCCAGCAGCCGCGGUAAUACGUAGGGUGCAAGCGUUAAUCGGAAUUACUGGGCGUAAAGCGUGCGCAGGCGGUUUUGUAAGUUUGUCGUGAAAUCCCCGGGCUCAACCUGGGAAUGGCGA